Molecule: ribosomal RNA, 487 nt
Filed under: uncultured bacterium
Lineage: Bacteria
Description: bacterial SSU rRNA
Rfam family: Bacterial small subunit ribosomal RNA
Source: RNAcentral
GACGAACGCUGGCGGCGUGCUUAAUACAUGCAAGUCAACUUGACUUUAGAUAGCAAUAUCGAAAAGUAGGGUGGCGCACGGGUGCGUAACGCGUAGGUAAUCUGCCCUGAGGUCUGACAUAACCCGUCGAAAGGCGGGCUAACAUCAGAUGAUAUAUAAUCACGACAUCGUGGAAAUAUCAAAUCUUCGGAGCCUUGGGAUGAGCCUGCGUCUGAUUAGGUAGUUGGCGGAGUAAUAGCCCACCAAGCCUACGAUCAGUAGCUGGUCUGAGAGGAUGAUCAGCCACACUGGAACUGAGACACGGUCCAGACUCCUACGGGAGGCAGCAGUAAGGAAUAUUGCUCAAUGGGGGAAACCCUGAAGCAGCAACGCCGCGUGAAGGAUGAAAUACUUUUGUAUGUAAACUUCUGUAAGAUGGGAAAAAUAUUACUCCUCGGGAGAAUUGAUUGUACCAUCAGAGUAAGCCCCGGCUAACUACGUGCCAGCA